AAGAAAGUAAGCAAGGGCGCAUGGCGGAUGCCUUGGCUCUCGGAGGCGAUGAAGGACGUGAUAAGCUGCGAUAAGCUUUGGGGAGGUGCAAAUGACCUUUGAUCCAAAGAUUUCCGAAUGGGACAACCCAGUAUCUUGAAGGGAUACUAUCCUACUUUGUAGGAGGCUAACGCAGGGAACUGAAACAUCUUAGUACCUGCAGGAAAAGAAAAUAACAAUGAUUCCCCCAGUAGUGGCGAGCGAACGGGGAAUAGCCCAAACCAUGUCUGUUACGGCAGGCAUGGGGUUGUAGGACCACGACGUUGCAUGAAAGCAUUGGAGAAGAAUUUGCUGGAAAGCAAAGCCACAGAGCAUGAAAGCUGCGUAUUCGAACAAUGCCGAAGCAUAGUGGUAUCCUGAGUAGCGCGGAGCACGAGGAAUUCUGCGUGAAUCUGCCGGGACCAUCCGGUAAGGCUAAAUACUCCCGAGAGACCGAUAGUGAACCAGUACCGUGAGGGAAAGGUGAAAAGCACUUCGAACAGAAGAGUGAAACAGUACCUGAAACCGUGCGCCUACAAGCGGUCGGAGCUUCUUCGGAAGUGACGGCGUGCCUUUUGCAUAAUGAACCUACGAGUUACCGUUGCCGGCAAGGUUAAGUGCAUGAUGGUUCACGGAGCCGAAGCGAAAGCGAGUCUGAAGAGGGCGCAUAGUCGGUAGUGGUAGACGCGAAACCAAGUGAUCUACCCUUGACCAGGUUGAAGGCUGGGUAACACCAGCUGGAGGACCGAACCAAUAAGCGUUGAAAAGCUUCUGGAUGAGUUGAGGGUAGGGGUGAAAGGCUAAUCAAACUUGGAGAUAGCUCGUACUCCCCGAAAUGCAUUUAGGUGCAGCCUCGGGGGUUACUGAUGUGAGGUAGAGCGACUGAUAAGAUGCGAGGGCUUCACCGCCUAUCAAGUCUUGACAAACUCCGAAUGCGCAUCAGUCUUACCCCGGGAGUGAGGGCAUGGGUGCUAAGGUCCGUGCCCGAGAGGAGAACAAUCCGGACCACCGGCUAAGGUCCCGAAAUGACAGCUAAGUUAAACUAACGAAGUCAGAUUGCUAAGACAGCUAGGAUGUUGGCUUGGAAGCAGCCAUUCAUUUAAAGAGUGCGUAACAGCUCACUAGUCGAGGAGUUUGGCGUGGAUAAUAAUCGGGUAUCAAGUUGUCUACCGAAGCCGUGGAAU
Molecule: ribosomal RNA, 1202 nt
Filed under: gut metagenome
Description: bacterial LSU rRNA
Rfam family: Bacterial large subunit ribosomal RNA
Source: RNAcentral